Molecule: ribosomal RNA, 492 nt
Filed under: uncultured bacterium
Lineage: Bacteria
Description: partial 16S ribosomal RNA
Rfam family: Bacterial small subunit ribosomal RNA
Source: RNAcentral
AGUGAACGCUGGCGGUAGGCCUAACACAUGCAAGUCGAACGGCAGCACAGUAAGAGCUUGCUCUUACGGGUGGCGAGUGGCGGACGGGUGAGGAAUACAUCGGAAUCUACUUUUUCGUGGGGGAUAACGUAGGGAAACUUACGCUAAUACCUCAGACUACCUACGGGUGAAAGCAGGGGAUCUUCGGACCUUGCGCGAUUGAAUGAGCCGAUGUCGGAUUAGCUAGUUGGCGGGGUAAAGGCCCACCAAGGCGACGAUCCGUAGCUGGUCUGAGAGGAUGAUAAGCCACCCUGGCACUGAGAAACGGUCCAGACUCCUACGGGAGGCAGCAGUGGGGAAUAUUGGACAAUGGGCGCAAGCCUGAUCCAGCCAUACCGCGUGGGUGAAGAAGGCCUUCGGGUUGUAAAGCCCUUUUGUUGGGAAAGAAAAGCAGCAGGUUAAUACCCCGCUGUUCUGACGGUACCCAAAGAAUAAGCACCGGCUAACUUCGUG